UACGGAGGGAGCUAGCGUUGUUCGGAAUUACUGGGCGUAAAGCGCACGUAGGCGGUUAUUCAAGUCAGAGGUGAAAGCCCGGGGCUCAACCCCGGAACUGCCUUUGAAACUAGAUGACUGGAAUCUUGGAGAGGUCAGUGGAAUUCCGAGUGUAGAGGUGAAAUUCGUAGAUAUUCGGAAGAACACCAGUGGCGAAGGCGACUGACUGGACAAGUAUUGACGCUGAGGUGCGAAAGCGUGGGGAGCAAACAGG
Molecule: ribosomal RNA, 253 nt
Filed under: bacterium
Lineage: Bacteria
Also listed under: 1 other name
Description: partial 16S ribosomal RNA
Rfam family: Bacterial small subunit ribosomal RNA
Source: RNAcentral